GAUGAACGCUGGCGGCGUGCCUAAUACAUGCAAGUCGAGCGAACGGACGAGAAGCUUGCUUCUCUGAUGUUAGCGGCGGACGGGUGAGUAACACGUGGAUAACCUACCUAUAAGACUGGGAUAACUUCGGGAAACCGGAGCUAAUACCGGAUAAUAUUUUGAACCGCAUGGUUCAAAAGUGAAAGACGGUCUUGCUGUCACUUAUAGAUGGAUCCGCGCUGCAUUAGCUAGUUGGUAAGGUAACGGCUUACCAAGGCAACGAUGCAUAGCCGACCUGAGAGGGUGAUCGGCCACACUGGAACUGAGACACGGUCCAGACUCCUACGGGAGGCAGCAGUAGGGAAUCUUCCGCAAUGGGCGAAAGCCUGACGGAGCAACGCCGCGUGAGUGAUGAAGGUCUUCGGAUCGUAAAACUCUGUUAUUAGGGAAGAACAUAUGUGUAAGUAACUGUGCACAUCUUGACGGUACCUAAUCAGAAAGCCACGGCUAACUACGUGCCAGCAGCCGCGGUAAUACGUAGGUGGCAAGCGUUAUCCGGAAUUAUUGGGCGUAAAGCGCGCGUAGGCGGUUUUUUAAGUCUGAUGUGAAAGCCCACGGCUCAACCGUGGAGGGUCAUUGGAAACUGGAAAACUUGAGUGCGGAAGAGGAAAGUGGAAUUCCAUGUGUAGCGGUGAAAUGCGCAGAGAUAUGGAGGAACACCAGUGGCGAAGGCGACUUUCUGGUCUGUAACUGACGCUGAUGUGCGAAAGCGUGGGGAUCAAACAGGAUUAGAUACCCUGGUAGUCCACGCCGUAAACGAUGAGUGCUAAGUGUUAGGGGGUUUCCGCCCCUUAGUGCUGCAGCUAACGCAUUAAGCACUCCGCCUGGGGAGUACGACCGCAAGGUUGAAACUCAAAGGAAUUGACGGGGACCCGCACAAGCGGUGGAGCAUGUGGUUUAAUUCGAAGCAACGCGAAGAACCUUACCAAAUCUUGACAUCCUUUGACAACUCUAGAGAUAGAGCCUUCCCCUUCGGGGGACAAAGUGACAGGUGGUGCAUGGUUGUCGUCAGCUCGUGUCGUGAGAUGUUGGGUUAAGUCCCGCAACGAGCGCAACCCUUAAGCUUAGUUGCCAUCAUUAAGUUGGGCACUCUAAGUUGACUGCCGGUGACAAACCGGAGGAAGGUGGGGAUGACGUCAAAUCAUCAUGCCCCUUAUGAUUUGGGCUACACACGUGCUACAAUGGACAAUACAAAGGGCAGCGAAACCGCGAGGUCAAGCAAAUCCCAUAAAGUUGUUCUCAGUUCGGAUUGUAGUCUGCAACUCGACUACAUGAAGCUGGAAUCGCUAGUAAUCGUAGAUCAGCAUGCUACGGUGAAUACGUUCCCGGGUCU
This 1372-nucleotide ribosomal RNA is filed under the name uncultured bacterium. Its description in RNAcentral is "bacterial SSU rRNA". It matches the Rfam family "Bacterial small subunit ribosomal RNA", at positions 28 to 1381 of the family's 1533-position model. The record is from RNAcentral.